UACGGAGGAUGCGAGCGUUAUCCGGAUUUAUUGGGUUUAAAGGGUGCGUAGGCGGGCCUUCAGGCCGGCGGUAAAAUUGCGGGGCUCAACUCCGCCGAGCCGUCGGAACCGGGGGCCUUGAGUACCGGAGAAGUACGCGGAAUGCGUGGUGUAGCGGUGAAAUGCAUAGAUAUCACGCAGAACCCCGAUUGCGAAGGCAGCGUACCGGCCGGUCACUGACGCUGAGGCACGAAAGCGCGGGUAUCGAACAGG
This 252-nucleotide ribosomal RNA is filed under the name uncultured bacterium. RNAcentral describes it as "partial 16S ribosomal RNA". It matches the Rfam family "Bacterial small subunit ribosomal RNA", at positions 524 to 776 of the family's 1533-position model. The record is from RNAcentral.